GCGGCAAUAGCUUAGUGAUAGAGCCCCCGCUUCGCGUGCGGGGAGACCCGGGUUCGAUUCCCGGCUGCUUCC
This 72-nucleotide transfer RNA is filed under the name Toxocara canis (dog roundworm). It matches the Rfam family "tRNA". Rfam says of the family: Transfer RNA (tRNA) molecules are approximately 80 nucleotides in length. The record is from Rfam by way of RNAcentral. Lineage: Eukaryota; Metazoa; Nematoda; Chromadorea; Rhabditida; Toxocaridae.